ACUGGGUUGCUGAUCCAGCUAUGGAGAAAGCCGCAGAUCUGCAGGACACAGCCUCGUUAACUCUGAAGUUUAAGUUUAACCCAAAGCUGGGCAUUGAUAAUCCUGUCCUCUCCCUGGCCGAAGACCACAACCCCUAUGGUAACUCCCUCACCCCCUGGCAACCAUUCCCUUUCCCUGGAGGCACCACAGCUCCACACGGCCUCCGAUCUCCUUGGUAACCACUUGCUCGGUCUCCCUCUGAUAACAGCCUUGGUUGGGGGUAGAGAUAGGAGGGGCCAGGCGUUUUCUCCUGUUCCAGUCCCUCUGUCCACGAACCCCACCACCCAACACCCAACCAGGCAGAAACUGCCCAGCGCCCUAUCAGGACACAGGGUCUGCCAGGCACAUGGCGAACCUGUACUUGGGCUGUGCCCUCUCCUCCCCCUUUUCCGCUGCCCACCUCACCCUCCAGAUCCCUGGAGCCUGGAGCGGCCUCGCUUCUGUUUACUGAGCAAAGAGGAGGGCAAGAGUUUUGGCUUCCACCUGCAGCAGGAGCUGGGCAGGGCUGGGCAUGUGGUGUGCAGGGUGGACCCAGGCACCUCUGCCCAGCGCCAGGGUCUUCAGGAAGGAGACAGGAUCCUGGCGGUGAACAACGAUGUUGUGGAACACGAAGACUAUGCGGUGGUGGUACGCCGCAUCCGGGCCAGCAGCCCUCGUGUGUUGCUGACAGUAUUGGCACGGCAUGCACAUGAUGUGGCCCGAGCUCAGCUGGGAGAAGAUGCCCACCUCUGUCCCACCCUAGGCCCAGGGGUCCGGCCCCGGCUGUGCCACAUAGUGAAAGAUGAGGGUGGUUUUGGCUUCAGUGUCACCCAUGGCAAUCAGGGUCUUUUCUGGUUGGUGCUAAGUACCGGAGGAGCAGCUGAGCGGGCAGGGGUGCCCCCCGGGGCCCGGCUGCUGGAAGUGAAUGGGGUCAGUGUGGAGAAGUUCACUCACAACCAACUCACCAGGAAGCUUUGGCAGAGUGGACAGCAGGUGACCUUGCUGGUGGCAGGGCCAGAGGUGGAGGAACAGUGUCGCCAGCUGGGAUUGCCCCUGGCUGCACCCCUGGCAGAGGGCUGGGCACUGCCCACCAAGCCCCGCUGUCUGCACCUAGAGAAAGGGCCCCAGGGUUUUGGGUUCCUGCUCCGGGAGGAAAAGGGCCUUGACGGUCGCCCUGGUGAGUGGGAGCCCUGGGGGUGGUGGGGGAAGGUGGGCCUUGAGGUGGGUACACAAGUGUAUAUACACCUUUCAGUGCACCGAAGAGGUGUCCCUGUCUGAGCUCUGGCCCUGGGCCACCUCUUCCUGUUCACUCUGGGGUCAGUCCCCUGGUGUGCACACAGUGGCCUAGGAUAGUUGGAGAGGAGCAGUGAGGAUGUCUAUGCCCCAGGACAGUUCCUGUGGGAGGUGGACCCGGGACUGCCAGCCAAGAAGGCUGGGAUGCAGGCUGGGGACCGGCUGGUGGCUGUGGCUGGGGAGAGCGUGGAGGGGCUGGGCCACGAGGAGACAGUGUCCAGGAUCCAGGCGCAGGGCUCCUGUGUCUCCCUCACUGUCGUCGACCCUGAGGCUGACCGCUUCUUUAGCAUGGUUCGCCUAUCCCCACUCCUCUUCUCGGAGAACACAGAGGCUCCCGCCUCGCCCCAGGGCAGCAGCUCAACCUCACUGGUUGAGACAGAGAACCCUUCACUUGAAGACACAAGCGUGCCUUCUGUCCCUCUUGGCUCCCGACAGUGCUUCCUGUACCCUGGGCCUGGUGGCAGCUAUGGCUUCCGACUCAGUUGUGUGGCCAGUGGGCCUCGUCUCUUUAUCUCCCAGGUGACUGAUGCCCCAUGGAUCUUGAAUCCCUUCGAUCCUUUGCUGCCCGAUCAGUCUUCCUCUGCUUCCCUCCCAGAGCCUUAAGCCAGAAACUUUCCCCUGGUGUCCCCUGUUCUGCAUGAUCCCACACCACCAGGUGACUCCAGGAGGCUCAGCUGCCCGGGCUGGGUUGCAAGUGGGAGAUGUGAUUCUGGAAGUGAACGGGUAUCCUGUUGGGGGACAGAAUGACCUGGACAGGCUUCAGCAGCUGCCUGAGGCUGAGCCACCCCUCUGCCUGAAGCUGGCAGUCAGGUCUCUGUGGGGCUUGGAAGCCUGGAUUCCCCCUGGGGCUGCAGAGGACUGGGCUCUGGCCUCGGAUCAGCUGUAGAGCACCCCUGCUUGGUACAGACAUACUCAGGGGCUACCGUGUCUUCACUCUCCAGCCCGAGGUGGUGAAGGCAGGAUGCUCUCUCUAAGCCAGACCAGAGGGACUCAGACACCACCGAUCACAGGCUGGCCCAGGUGCUCCCUCCCUUCCCGCAGGCCCAACUCCCAGCAGAGGGUGUGGUUGGAGUCCCUGAAGGAGUCUGAGGCUCCAGAGGAUGUCAUAUGGGAGCUUUGGAGAACUGUGUCCCAAGGAUGAAGGUGUGGCUGUGGGUCUGGCUAGGAUUGAAGCCAUCUGGACCUUUUCUAGAUAUGACUCCAGGACCCUUGAGUGUAAUGCAAAAAUUUGGAGCCCAGCUAUGCCUGCCCUCUGUGGGUGCCUUAGCAUUGCGGGAGGGUGGUGCUUGGUCACCGUUGCAUUUGUUAUAGAAAUGGCCGUUCCCCAU
Molecule: small RNA, 2639 nt
Filed under: Pongo abelii (Sumatran orangutan)
Lineage: Eukaryota; Metazoa; Chordata; Mammalia; Primates; Hominidae
Description: retained intron
Source: RNAcentral